AACGGUCUAUACCUGCGGUACCUGCGGAAGGAUCAUUACAUGAUUUGAGGGGGCUCACGUCCCCUCAUCCAACCCACAAACCCCGAGGAACUUUUAUGUCGAGUGGUUCGGCGCUCUCUUUGAGAGCCGCCCCUCAAACGCAUCGCAGGCUUUUCGUGAAGGUCUGAUGUGUCACAUCGUGAGUAUUAAAACUUUUAGCAAUGGAUCUCU
RNAcentral lists this unclassified non-coding RNA (210 nucleotides) under soil metagenome. RNAcentral's name for it is "partial contains 5.8S ribosomal RNA, internal transcribed spacer 2, and large subunit ribosomal RNA". The record is from RNAcentral.